Asparagus officinalis (garden asparagus) is the source of this 494-nucleotide long non-coding RNA. RefSeq lists it as uncharacterized. Lineage: Eukaryota; Viridiplantae; Streptophyta; Magnoliopsida; Asparagales; Asparagaceae. The transcript has 4 exons. The record is from RefSeq and is a predicted model, not a curated record.
CCCGUCAGCCUCUUCUUCCUUCUUCCUAUCUUUUUCCGCCGCACAAAAAAAAUGUCUUUCCCUUUACAAUUUCGCAGCACAAACAAAAAAAAAAUCAAAGAAGAAGAAGAAGAAGAAGAAGAAGAAGAAGAGAACAAGAGCCUGAACAUAUUGGGUGAAGCAAUCGAUUUGUUUUUGGGAAAAUAAGCUUUGAGCAAGGAGCUCCUACAGGCUCCUGAGAAAACACUAUGAGAGGAUUGAAUUGUUGGUUUGUUCUUCGAAUUAAGAAACUCGAGAUUAGGUGGAGUUGAAGAUUUAUUUGUCAACUUCUUAGAACGGAGCAAGGAAUAAAAUUCAAUAUUGUUAUUAUCUUCUAGGUGAAUGUUAAAUAAAAUCUUGAUGUUUAGUUGAUGAAUUGAGAUUCUGGUGGUUACGCGAUUUCUUUUCUUUAGGUCGAGUUUUAUUUCAAGUUGAGGAAUAUUUGUUCAUAUCAAGUUAAUUGGAUUAAUGUUGAC